This 491-nucleotide ribosomal RNA is filed under the name uncultured bacterium. Its description in RNAcentral is "partial 16S ribosomal RNA". It matches the Rfam family "Bacterial small subunit ribosomal RNA", at positions 29 to 507 of the family's 1533-position model. The record is from RNAcentral.
AGUGAACGCUGGCGGUAGGCCUAACACAUGCAAGUCGAACGGCAGCACAGUAAGAGCUUGCUCUUACGGGUGGCGAGUGGCGGACGGGUGAGGAAUACAUCGGAAUCUACUUUUUCGUGGGGGAUAACGUAGGGAAACUUACGCUAAUACCGCAUACGACCUACGGGUGAAAGCAGGGGAUCUUCGGACCUUGCGCGAUUGAAUGAGCCGAUGUCGGAUUAGCUAGUUGGCGGGGUAAAGGCCCACCAAGGCGACGAUCCGUAGCUGGUCUGAGAGGAUGAUCAGCCACACUGGAACUGAGACACGGUCCAGACUCCUACGGGAGGCAGCAGUGGGGAAUAUUGGACAAUGGGCGCAAGCCUGAUCCAGCCAUACCGCGUGGGUGAAGAAGGCCUUCGGGUUGUAAAGCCCUUUUGUUGGGAAAGAAAAGCAGCAGGUUAAUACCCCGCUGUUCGGACGGUACCCAAAGAAUAAGCACCGGCAACUUCGUG